UACUAGUAGUAAACAACUUGAAGGGUUACGUGUCACAACCCCCUUAUCGUCAAGACAAGAGGGAACUACAAAUUAAAUUUACAUUUUAGUUGUACAACCAUAUAUACGCCGAAAUGUGUGCUCUGUAAACUGUACACCCUAAUCUGUACAUCUGUACAACUUGAAAAAGUGUGUUUCAGUUUGUCAGAAUACAUUACUGACCGAGAGAUUUCAACUCCCUAACAAAUCGUCUAAAUCGACGAAAACGUAGUGACGACGAGUUUUCAAAAUGACGGUAACCUACAUGCAAUAUACGCACACUGCAGCCAAACUUGGAGUUUUCAGCAGGAUUUUAUUAAUUUGGAGAGGAAGUGUCUGGAAGGGGGUUUGGAGGGAUCUUUGUUUAUUCAUCUCUCUAUACGCAUUUAUCAGUAUUAUGUACAGAUACGUUCUAGUUCUGGAUGAGAAGAGCAAAGAUAAUUUUGAAGUGUUCUGUGUUUACUGCUCUAAAGGAAUACAAAGGAUCCCUCUCUCAUUUAUUCUUGGUUUCUAUGUUUCCCAGGUAGUUUCAAGAUGGUGGGAUCAAUGGAAUGCAUUGGCUUGGCCAGACAGGCUUGCCCAGCAGCUGACGUGCUAUCUUAACUGCAGGACUACCCGACGUUCCUGUAUUAGAUGGGCCUGCUUAUCUAACGUGCUGACUCUUCGAAUGAUUAGCAGUAAGGUUGCCCUGAGAUUUCCAACUCUUGAACAUUUAAUAGAGGCAGGACUCCUCACUUCUAAGGAGCUAGGAAAGCUGGAUCUGAUGCUGGAGAAAACAGGUGGAAGACAUGAUUUGUCUUGGUAUCCGAUUUCAUGGGCUCAGGAGGCUGUCAGGAAGAGCAGAAAAGAUGCACUGAUUCCUGCGGAUCUCUGGAUGUCUAAACUUCAAGACUCUCUGAUGAACAUUGCUGAUCAGAAUUGGAGAAUGUUUUGUUAUGGCUGGGUUAGUAUACCCCUAGUGUAUACCCAGCUAGUGACUAUAGCUGUUUAUACAUACUUCUUUGCUGCGCUCUUCGGUAGUCAGUAUCUAACUCCCACCAAAUACUUGAUAGACGGAGAGAUGUUCUACAAGGUAGAUGAGCACGAUUACAGACCUGGAGCAACUGGAAACCUGGUCGGAUAUGAUGAUAGUAUUUUCGAUAUGUAUAUCCCCACCUUUACCCUACUGGAGUUUGUAUUCUACUUUGGAUGGUUAAAGGUUGCCGAGUCUCUGAUCAACCCUUUUGGAGAAGAUGAUGAUGAUUUUGAAACCAAUUAUAUUAUUGACAGAAAUCUCCAGCUCGGAUAUCUGAUGGUAGAGAGAGAAGAUGUGGUUCAAGAAGAUCCUUUCGGAGAAUACGAGAUCCCGCCUAAUGUUCUUCCUCACACCAUGAGUUCUAAAGAGUUCAUAGACUCAGGACCUCAGAUGCCUACAGACAAUGUGUAUGUGGAGGAGGAUGGAAUGGCAUUAGUUACUGAGAAGGAUCAGGACGAUCAAGGAUUGAUCGUAAACCUUAGACCCAGUAUCAAAUCUAGACUAAGCAGACUAGGAAGUUCAAUACGAACUGGAAGACGACCUUCUAUUGCCUCCCGUCGUUCUUGUGGUUCCAUUAUUUCCAACAGAGGCAGAGUAGAGUCACGCAAACAAUAUGGGAAAGAUGGUUUGAUAAGUCGAAAUUCAACCUAUACUGGUUUAUCAUUUGGAGUCCCACAAUCAAGCGGAGAAGUAUCUCUGAGUAAUGGAAACGGUCCAGUACCUGUUCUUACCCGGGGUAUAAGUAGGAAGAGUAACGAUACAAAUCACAGAGAUAACGGGAUUGUAUUGGAGGAGAAGGCUGAAGGAAAUACGAAGUCCCCAAAUGGUCUGACCUCAUAUACUACAGAAAAGGAGGGAACAGAUUUCAAAAAGGAGAGUGUUUGUGACAAAUAUAUUGUUGAUUUACCUGUGGAGGAGGAGAAGGAUACUAACAACAUAUAGAUUAACAACCCUAACAACAUCUAAACAUUUUAAUCUGAAAAUUUGAAAUCGAAAACUCCAAGUUUGUUAUAUGUGUAAAUUCAUCGCUUAAUGCUUAAUGCAUGAAUAUUCAACCUUCACAACAAAAAAUCCGAUACGUCUUUCAUUCCUAUAACUCCUGACGAAAUCAGCAGAUAUAAAUAGAAAAAUGGUUUUCAAAUGUUGCCGAAUUUUUUUUCUAUUUUAAUACUAGCUCUGAUAUGUUUAUUCCAGACAUAGAUCUCUUUUGAUUGAUUUAAACAAUUCUACUGUAUUAUUUAGAUAAAAUGAACUCCUAAAACCAUUAGUUCAUUUUUCUGUUCAAUUUCUCGCGAAUAUUGUGUUAUUAUUUACAUUGUGCAAUAUGUACCUAUUUUUGACUCGAGUACAACAAUGCUUGCUCA
This 2397-nucleotide unclassified non-coding RNA is filed under the name Eurytemora carolleeae. Its description in RNAcentral is "bestrophin-4". The record is from RNAcentral. Lineage: Eukaryota; Metazoa; Arthropoda; Copepoda; Calanoida; Temoridae.